RNAcentral lists this small RNA (67 nucleotides) under Arabidopsis thaliana (thale cress). RNAcentral describes it as "ATSL046070". The record is from RNAcentral. Lineage: Eukaryota; Viridiplantae; Streptophyta; Magnoliopsida; Brassicales; Brassicaceae.
GUUACAAAGGGUAUAAGCUAUUAGAUAUAGAGACACAUGCCGUUUCUAUUUCAAGACAUGUCAUUUU